This 497-nucleotide ribosomal RNA is filed under the name uncultured bacterium. RNAcentral's name for it is "bacterial SSU rRNA". It matches the Rfam family "Bacterial small subunit ribosomal RNA", at positions 899 to 1397 of the family's 1533-position model. The record is from RNAcentral.
ACUCAAAGGAAUUGACGGGAACUCGCACAAGCGGUGGAGCAUGCGGUUUAAUUCGAUGCAACGCGAAGAACCUUACCAGGUCUUGACAUCCCAUUGACUCAUCUAGAGAUAGGUGUUUCCUUCGGGACAAUGGAGACAGGUGGUGCAUGGUUGUCGUCAGCUCGUGUCGUGAGAUGUUGGGUUAAGUCCCGCAACGAGCGCAACCCCUAUCAUUAGUUGCUAACAUUAAGUUGAGGACUCUAAUGAGACUGCCGAUGACAAAUCGGAUGAAGGUGGGGACGACGUCAAAUCAUCAUGCCCCUUAUGACCUGGGCUACACGCGUGCUACAAUGGCUAGUACAAAGGGUUGCGAAGCCGCGAGGUGAAGCUAAUCUCAGAAAGCUAGUCUCAGUUCGGAUUGUAGUCUGCAACUCGACUACAUGAAGGUGGAAUCGCUAGUAAUCGUGAAUCAGAAUGUCACGGUGAAUACGUUCUCGAGUUUUGUACACACCGCCCGU